Mastomys coucha (southern multimammate mouse) is the source of this 200-nucleotide long non-coding RNA. RefSeq lists it as uncharacterized. The record is from RefSeq and is a predicted model, not a curated record. NCBI's taxonomy places the organism in Eukaryota, Metazoa, Chordata, Mammalia, Rodentia, Muridae. The transcript is spliced from 3 exons.
GGAUGGAUCUGAUGUUUUCCUUGCUGAUAUUCCUCUGGGGCUAAGGUGAGGCUCAGGGAUUGGAGCAAGGGCGCCUUUUCAAAGUAUCUGAGAGAUCUCCAGAGCUUUGUUCAUGAGGAGAUUGCUGGCCCCUGCCUUGGACUUGCCCUGAUGGGAAGCAGAAGGGCACAGAGGUCAAUGGACUCAAAAGACAAUGGGCU